This is a long non-coding RNA of Zea mays, 1192 nucleotides long. RefSeq lists it as uncharacterized. Lineage: Eukaryota; Viridiplantae; Streptophyta; Magnoliopsida; Poales; Poaceae. The record is from RefSeq and is a predicted model, not a curated record. The transcript is spliced from 3 exons.
GACCUGUCUCGGUCGAGCAUCAGCCGAGAAGGAGCAGGUGAGCGGGCAUCAGCCGAGCGGAGCGAGCAGGAGCCGGAGGACCUCGCCAUCCACAACCUCCCCUCCUCCCUUCCUCCAUCGGCGUCGGUGAGGGGUGCUUGUCGCUUGCGGACUGUGCACGCCACCGCAAGCCGGGACUGUGGGCGCCACCGCAAGCAGUCUCUGCUGUGCGUGGAGGACAACCUUGCCGGCGAGCGAGGAGGAACGCGAGGACUCAGACGCACCGCCACGUCUGGUGUUGGGGAUGCAGAGCGUUACCAGGGAGCUGGCGAGGUGCUGCAAAGUGAGCAGCAAGGGAGCUGAUGCCGAGCUCGACUGCUACAGCUGCUCCGGCGUGCUGCGUGGGUGACAGGAAUGGUGGGAGGAAAAGGAGACAUGAGAGAUAGAAGAGAGUAGAAAUUGAGUACGUCUUCUUGCAUGAGAAGGAGCGUACAUGAGUAAGCUUCUAGACCGUGCAUCAACUGGAUAAGAACAGGAGCAUUCCAAGGAUUUGGUCGACCUAAGGAUAAGAGAAAAUGUGUGGCAGGGAGGGGAUAAGGAGAAAAGGCUAGGGGAUAAAGGCCAUCGGCCAGCACAUGGAGAAAGGUGAUUUUUCCUUCAGAUAUUUGGAACCUCUGAACGGCUACACUUCACUGAAACACAGUUUCAAUCUUCUGAAUCCACUGAAUCAGCCACACUACCCAUUGCCCAGCUCUCUGUUUGAUCCCCUUUUAUGUCACAAAUUCUCUUAGCAACAGGCCCAUCUCCCUUAACUAAAUUUACUCCCUAAGCAUAGUUCUUUCACUUUGGUAUAACGCCCAUAGGUUGGAAAUACUCAAAGAAAAAGUUGUGAUGCGCUAAAGUAGAGUAUAAAUACUGAAAAGUCCAAAUUCAGCUAACUGGACACCACAGUUUAAGUCUGACAGAGGAAUUUGCAAUAGGUUGUUCUCCAAGUUCUAUACAGUAGCAAGCCAACUCAUUGCACAAACCUUGAUUAUCUAUAUUAGGUCAAUCAUUUUGCUACAUACUCUUAACCCAAAUAUCUUUGGAUUAAUUACCACAGAGCUCCAAAGGUGGGUAAAAACACACAGAUUCAGACUUAGAUGUUUUACUGUUUGAAAAUCCCCAACACCUGACAACUGAUCUUUAGGCAAACAUUACUCUACAGGGUGUG